RNAcentral lists this ribosomal RNA (606 nucleotides) under uncultured bacterium. RNAcentral describes it as "bacterial SSU rRNA". It matches the Rfam family "Bacterial small subunit ribosomal RNA", at positions 292 to 915 of the family's 1533-position model. The record is from RNAcentral.
CUGAGAGGGCGCACGGACACACUGGAACUGAAACACGGUCCAGACUCCUACGGGAGGCAGCAGUGGGGAAUUUUGCGCAAUGGGGGAAACCCUGACGCAGCAACGCCGCGUGGAGGAUGAAGUACUUCGGUACGUAAACUCCUUUCGAUCGGGACGAUAAUGACGGUACCGGAAGAAGAAGCCCCGGCUAACUUCGUGCCAGCAGCCGCGGUAAUACGAGGGGGGCAAGCGUUGUUCGGAAUUAUUGGGCGUAAAGGGUGCGUAGGCGGUUUGGUAAGUCUCUUGUGAAAUCUAUGGGCUCAACUCAUAGACUGCAAGGGAAACUGCCGGGCUUGAGUGUGGGAGAGGUGAGUGGAAUUUCCGGUGUAGCGGUGAAAUGCGUAGAUAUCGGAAGGAACACCUGUGGCGAAAGCGGCUCACUGGACCACAACUGACGCUGAUGCACGAAAGCUAGGGGAGCAAACAGGAUUAGAUACCCUGGUAGUCCUAGCCCUAAACGAUGACUGCUUGGUGUGACGGGUACCCAAUCCCGCCGUGCCGUAGCUAACGCGUUAAGCAGUCCGCCUGGGGAGUACGGUCGCAAGGCUGAAACUCAAAGGAAUGACG